This 1869-nucleotide long non-coding RNA is filed under the name Carassius auratus (goldfish). RNAcentral's name for it is "lncRNA (ENSCARG00000000234.1)". The record is from RNAcentral. Lineage: Eukaryota; Metazoa; Chordata; Actinopteri; Cypriniformes; Cyprinidae.
GAAUUAAUGAUACAUCCUAUGCUCUCACAUUUGGAUUUGAAAUCAGCAAUAUAUCCAUGUCUGAGAAAAUUGAACUAAGGAAUGAAACUUACACUUCAAUCAAAAGCACUAUAAAUGGAUUACUUAACGAAAUCCUAAAAGACCCCUCAGCUUCUCAGUUUGAUCUCCAUCAUGUUGAAUUCAAGGAUAAUAGCACAGUGAUUCUUGCCAGUGUUCAGUAUGUUUUCUCAGAAAGUGACUUGAACACAAAUAGCACCUUUGUCAAGGAAAUAUUCAAAGCGAAUGAAGGUAUUACCACAUCCACACCUGCUAUGUCACACUUUAUAUGUCUUGCAAUAUAAAUACCCCAUACUAUAAUUUAAAGCAUGAUUCUUCUCCACUAAUCAUUAUAUUAUUUGACAGUUUUAAUGACAGCCAGCACUCUGACAACACCUUCUCCACCGAACUUGUAAGAGAUCAAUAAUUAAUUUUCUCUUUACAUUUUUUAUUAUUAUCAUCUUUUGAAAAUGAAUGGUAAUAUGAAAUAAAUUCUCCAAAUAAAAAAAUGUAUCAUCUGUUGCAGGCUUGGGAAGGUGAUCAUAUACAUCAAGCUUGUGUUUAGAACACGGGGUGCUAUACCAAGUCAGACUGAUGUUUUAAAUCUAGCAAACAGUCUGUUGAAUCGAAUGAAAAUGAGAACUAAACGAGACCUUACAACAAAAGAUUUGACUGAACUUGUGAGCUUUGUAAAUGUCACCUAUACAAAAAUUGAUGAUUACUCCUUCUCCCUUAACUUUGGAUUUGAAAUCAGCAAUGUGUCCAUGCCUCAGAACCUUGAAUUCAGGAAUGAGACCUACCAAGUGAUCCAGAAAUAUAUGAAUUCAUUUGUAUCCACAAUCCUAAAUAAAACAACAACUACUGACUUUAAUUUCAAUCAAAUAGUUUUCAAGGGUAAUUCCACCGUGAUUGAGGCCAAUGUAGAGUAUGUUUUUACAGACAGUGACAUCGGUAGUUUCAGCUUGGUCACAACUUUGCUCGGACUUACUACAACAGCCGCUCCAACCACCUUUUACCCCACAAUUCUGCACACUACCAUCUCAAACAACAGUACUAAUGCAGCUUGGGUUGUGGCUAUCAUUGUCCCCUGUGCUAUUAUCAUCGGGCUUAUACCUUGCUGGAUUCUUCUUUGCGUAAGUAUUAUGAUGACUGAAUGUGAAAUAUGUGCAUCGGAAGUAAAGUGAUUAAUGACGUUAAUGAUUAACAUGCAAGCUUUACUAUUUUGUCUUAAAAUAGAUUUAAAUCUGUCUUUAAAUCUGCUUUUAUUUGGUUUAUAAUGUACAGCUGAUUAAAAGCAGUUUAAAGUGUAUAACAUUCCCUUCCAUGAUGCUAACUCUCACUUUGUCUGUGUACGUGUUUAGUGUUUGCUGUGUGGUUGCUGUGCAGCAAUCAGAAGACGUUGGCACAGAAGACGGUCAUACAAUGUGCAGUACACCACUCGAAACAGUCUCUUCUAGAGAUAUUCAAGAACAAACUUUAAAUGCUUAAAAGUGUAUUAAUUUUCCUGUAUUGCUGGGCAUACAGGACAUCUCCAAAUGUGAUACAACUGUGAUUUAGAAAAAAAAAAAACUAUUUAAGGAAUUAUUUUAUUUAUUUGAAAAUGAUGUUAUGUAAAGUAAUGAUAAUCUUGUUUACUGAAUGAAAGAUUUAUUUGGUAGCAUGUAUCUAAUGUUAUGGGACAAAUGUAGAAUGGGUUUAUUUACACUUCAUGUACUUUAUCUUUAUCUAAAAUAAUAUAUUUUACCCUGAUGACCAUUCCACAAUUCAUAUUAUGAGACUGUGUAGUUAAAAGCUGUAAUUUAAUAAUAAUAAUAAAACAAUACAAUAUCAAAA